Molecule: small nucleolar RNA, 140 nt
Organism: Ziziphus jujuba (common jujube)
Lineage: Eukaryota; Viridiplantae; Streptophyta; Magnoliopsida; Rosales; Rhamnaceae
Product: small nucleolar RNA U19
Exons: 1
Source: RefSeq, a predicted model, not a curated record
CCACGGUUUAGUUAGGGGGCAUAAAUUGAUUUUAUGGAUUCGAAUUGGAUCGGUUUGUUUCUAUUUGAAUCGGAGGCCUUUUGAGGGGACUCUCUUAUCAGUUUUCUCGUGGAUUGUUCCCCAAGCAGCCUCCAACAUUU